This 379-nucleotide long non-coding RNA is filed under the name Papio anubis (olive baboon). RNAcentral's name for it is "lncRNA (ENSPANG00000036890.2)". The record is from RNAcentral. Lineage: Eukaryota; Metazoa; Chordata; Mammalia; Primates; Cercopithecidae.
AUGGCGCCCAGCCCUCUGAGCAAUAGUGCAGGUUACCGGCCCGGAAACUGCACAGCUCCAGAGAGCUUCCAGGGCCAAAUCUGCAGUUUGGUUGCUUUCUCCUGCAGUCAAGGUGGGAGUCUUAAAAGCACGGGGAGAAUACGUCUACUCAGCAGGGAGCAAUUUGGGAUGAUGCAAGCAUUCAUAGGAAAUAUGGAGAGGCUUGAACUGGACCAUGUGGUGCUGGAGAGGCCAUCGCACUGACUGGCAAGAGAAGACCUGUUUCAUGGUGGUCCACAGAGCAAUUUCCCUGGCUUCACUCAAGGCUAACUCUCCUCCAGCAAAACACCCCUCUUCUCCUCCCACAGAUGAAGCAGGUGAGUGACUCCAUGUGUUCUAG